GCAUCGGCCGUAUCCCCACCCACUUGUUUUGGUCCAAGGGCAGAAAUGAACAUCCUGGAAACCAAUCAGUACUUGCGCUCUGAACUGGAAAAGUGCAAACAGAACUUCCGAGACCUCACAGAGAAAUUCCUGACAUCCAAAGCAACUGCCUACUCCCUGGCCAAUCACCUGCAGAAAUACAAGUGUGAAGAGUGCAAAGACCUUACAGAAUCUGUGCUGCAGGAGGAGCUGCAGUUUCAGGAGAGGGAGCUGGCCGAAUUGCCGAGACCAGCUACAAGGCUCUGGAUACAUGAUCCCUUAAUUCAGGCUCAGGCUGAAGAACUGACCCACUUACUACAGAAGAUACAGGAAGGAAGAGGUGUCUACUAGCUUUUCACCCAGCAUGUGAAGAACACAGUCAAGUCUUUUGAGGGCCUUCUCAGGAACACUGGCAUUGCCUGCUACCAGAGACAGAGAUUCUGUGAGCAAAUGGUACAAGGAAUCCAGCUGACAGAGGUUCUUGUCAGAAAACUUGCCACAGGUAAGUUGGCUACAGGCUCUGAAGACCCUUAGCUCCUCCCAAGUGCCCCAAAGUGGGGAGAAAAAAUGCAGAGUUAUCUCCAUUGUAAAUUUCAUUUUAGUUUUGACUAUGGUCCUUAAUCUGCAUUCUAUUGUUUUCUCUUUAGAGCACUCAGGUAAUCACUUUUCAUAUUCUUUCAAGAGUUCUGAGUUUUGUUUUUUAUUUUGAGACAGAGGCUUGCUCUCUUACCCAAGCUGGAGUGCAGUGACACAAUCUUGGCUGACUGUGAUCUGUGCCUCCUGGGCUCAAGCAUUCCUCCAACCUCAGCCUCCCAAGUAGCUGGUACUACAGGUGUGUGCCACCAUGCCUGGCUGACUUUUGUAUUUUUUGUAGAGACAGGGUUUCUCCAUGUUGCCCAGGCUGGUGUUGAACUACUGAGCUCAAGUGAUCCACCUGCUUUGGCCUCCCAAAGUGCUGGGAUUACAGAUGUGAGCCACUGUGCCUGGCCUGAGAGUUCUUAGUUUCAAUCAGUAAGAGAGAUAGAGUAUAGUGGAUUACUUCAUCUUGAUGAGCAUAAGAACUCACCUUCAUUUCUGGAAGAUAUUUUCACUGGGUGUAGGAUUCUAGUUGACAGUUUUUGUUUUUAAAAAGUGUUUGAAAAGUGAUAUUCCACUGUCUUCUGGCUUACAUUGUUUCCAACAAGAAGUCUGCCAUAAUUCUUAUUUUUGUUCCUCUGUACAUAAUGUGUCAUUUUUCCUCUGGCCACUUUUGAGAUUUUCUAUUUACCACUGGUUUGAAGCAGUUUAGUUAAGAUAAGACCUUGUAUAGUUUUAUCUUUUACAUAUUGUUUUACUUUAUCUAGUUUCUUGCAUCUGCAUGUUUAUAGUUCUCAUCAAAUUUGAGUAAUAAUGACAUAUAUAUGUCUUAUACAUGGCAUAUACAAUAUAGUAUAUAUGGCACAUAUGUAUCAAAUAUAUAUAAUGUAUAUUCUCUUCUUUCUCUCUAGCCUCUCAUUCAAAGACUCCAGUUAUAUUUGUAUUAGCUGCUUUGAAAUUUUACCACAGCUGACUAAUGGUCUGUUCAUUUUUGUUGUAUCUUUUUUUUCCUCUCUUUGUUUGUUUCUAUUUCCAUGUCUUGUAAUUGGUUAAUCUUUCUUCAGUAGCACCUAAUCUGCUGUUAAUCCUAUCCAGUGUAUUUUCAUCUCAGACAUUAUUUUUCAUGUAAAUUUAAUUUAUAUCUUUUUUUAAGGCCUUCUAUAUAACACUUCAUCAUUUCAUAUUUUCCCCUAGCUUGUUUAUUUUAUUUUAUUCUAUUUUUUGAGACAGAGUAUUGUUCUGUUGCCCAGGCUGAAGUACAGUGGUGAGAUUUCAGCUCACUGCAACCUUUGCCUCCUGGGUUCAAGCAAUUCUUGUGCCUCAGCCUCCUGAGUAGCUGUGAUUGCAGGCAUGUGCCUCCACACCCAGCUAAUUUUCAUAUUUUUCAGAGAGAUGGUGUUUCACCACAUUGGCCAGGCUAGUCGCCAACUCCUGACCGCAGGUGACCCACUCACCUUGGCCUCGCAAAGUGCCAGGAUUACAAGUAUGAGUUGCCACACCUGGCCUAGCUUCUUUAAUACAAGGAAUAUAGUUAUAUUUGCUUCAAUGUCCUUGUCUACAGAUUCUGUCAUCUGUGUCCUUUCUAUUGUUUUUUUAAUUCUCACUUGAUGUGUCCUUUCUAAGUCAGUUUAAGCAGAUUGAUUUUUUUUUUCCCUUCUUAUCAUGGAUUACAGUUUUCUGUCUCUCUGCAUUCCUAACAUUAUUUGAUUUGGUGUUAGACAUUGCGAAUUGUAACUUAUUGAGUGCUGGAUU
RNAcentral lists this long non-coding RNA (2346 nucleotides) under Rhinopithecus bieti (black snub-nosed monkey). RNAcentral's name for it is "lncRNA (ENSRBIG00000045618.1)". Lineage: Eukaryota; Metazoa; Chordata; Mammalia; Primates; Cercopithecidae. The record is from RNAcentral.